GGGGAUGUACUGGUUUUGACAGCAAUGAUUCCGGACGGUAAGCACGUCGGGCUCCCGUGGGCCGGCCCGUUAAUCCUGGUCCGCAAAAAAUCAGUUGCCAACAACAACUACGCACUCGCUGCCUAACCGACACAGUCGCUUAGCUUAAUCCCGGCCGCCCAGGCUGCGGCCCGGACGAGUAUCCCGCGGGCAUUACGCCUUCUCUGUUCCGAGUACGGGGUAUCAAUCAAGAAGGACGCACCGGCGGACGCCUUUAAAGCCGGCCAAGACGAAAAGGCUACGUUGCGGUUAGCCCGCCUUCCGGCAGGCCGCAGCCGACAACCAAAGGAAGGAUAAGCGUGUAGAAAGCUGCCAGGUGCGUUGUUUGGACGGCGGUUCGACUCCGCCCAUCUCCAC
RNAcentral lists this transfer-messenger RNA (396 nucleotides) under bovine gut metagenome. It matches the Rfam family "transfer-messenger RNA". From Rfam's summary of the family: Bacterial tmRNA, also known as 10Sa RNA or SsrA, is named for its dual tRNA and mRNA-like properties. The record is from RNAcentral.